UGAGUGACCUGCCGAUUUGUGGGGGAUAGCCGGGCCAACGCCCGGGUAAUACCGCAUACGCUCUUCUUGGGGCAUCUCUAGAAGAGGAAACCUCCGGGGCAAAUCGAGGGACUCGCGGCCUAUCAGCUAGUUGGCGAGGUAACGGCUCACCAAGGCUACGACGGGUAGCUGGUCUGAGAGGAUGGCCAGCCACAUUGGGACUGAGAUACCGGCCCAGACCUCCGUACGGGNGCAGCAGG
This 239-nucleotide ribosomal RNA is filed under the name uncultured bacterium. RNAcentral describes it as "partial 16S ribosomal RNA". It matches the Rfam family "Bacterial small subunit ribosomal RNA", at positions 118 to 354 of the family's 1533-position model. The record is from RNAcentral.